Molecule: ribosomal RNA, 823 nt
Filed under: Mycobacterium sp.
Lineage: Bacteria; Bacillati; Actinomycetota; Actinomycetes; Mycobacteriales; Mycobacteriaceae
Description: bacterial SSU rRNA
Rfam family: Bacterial small subunit ribosomal RNA
Source: RNAcentral
UGAGUAACACGUGGGCAAUCUGCCCUGCACUUCGGGAUAAGCCUGGGAAACUGGGUCUAAUACCGGAUAGGACCUUUAGNCGCAUGUCUUUUGGUGGAAAGCUUUUGCGGUGUGGGAUGGGCCCGCGGCCUAUCAGCUUGUUGGUGGGGUGAUGGCCUACCAAGGCGACGACGGGUAGCCGGCCUGAGAGGGUGUCCGGCCACACUGGGACUGAGAUACGGCCCAGACUCCUACGGGAGGCAGCAGUGGGGAAUAUUGCACAAUGGGCGCAAGCCUGAUGCAGCGACGCCGCGUGGGGGAUGACGGCCUUCGGGUUGUAAACCUCUUUCACCAUCGACGAAGGUCCGGGUUUUCUCGGAUUGACGGUAGGUGGAGAAGAAGCACCGGCCAACUACGUGCCAGCAGCCGCGGUAAUACGUAGGGUGCGAGCGUUGUCCGGAAUUACUGGGCGUAAAGAGCUCGUAGGUGGUUUGUCGCGUUGUUCGUGAAAUCUCACGGCUUAACUGUGAGCGUGCGGGCGAUACGGGCAGACUAGAGUACUGCAGGGGAGACUGGAAUUCCUGGUGUAGCGGUGGAAUGCGCAGAUAUCAGGAGGAACACCGGUGGCGAAGGCGGGUCUCUGGGCAGUAACUGACGCUGAGGAGCGAAAGCGUGGGGAGCGAACAGGAUUAGAUACCCUGGUAGUCCACGCCGUAAACGGUGGGUACUAGGUGUGGGUUUCCUUCCUUGGGAUCCGUGCCGUAGCUAACGCAUUAAGUACCCCGCCUGGGGGAGUACGGCCGCAAGGCUAAAACUCAAAGGAAUUGACGGGGGGCCCGCACAA